Molecule: ribosomal RNA, 856 nt
Filed under: uncultured Lentimicrobium sp.
Lineage: Bacteria; Pseudomonadati; Bacteroidota; Bacteroidia; Bacteroidales; Lentimicrobiaceae
Description: bacterial SSU rRNA
Rfam family: Bacterial small subunit ribosomal RNA
Source: RNAcentral
AGAGUUUGAUCCUGGCUCAGGAUGAACGCUAGCGGCAGGCUUAAUACAUGCAAGUCGAACGGGAUUCGGGGUAGCAAUACUUUGAUGAGAGUGGCGCACGGGUGCGUAACGCGUAUGCAACCUACCUUUAACAGGGGAAUAGCCCCGAGAAAUCGGGAUUAAUACUCCGUAACAUUGCGGUGUGGCAUCACACUGCACUUAAAGCUGAGGCGGUUAAAGAUGGGCAUGCGUGACAUUAGCUAGUUGGUGAGGUAACGGCUCACCAAGGCAACGAUGUCUAGGGGUCCUGAGAGGGUUAUCCCCCACACUGGUACUGAGACACGGACCAGACUCCUACGGGAGGCAGCAGUAAGGAAUAUUGGUCAAUGGGCGCAAGCCUGAACCAGCCAUGCCGCGUGCAGGAAGACGGCCCUAUGGGUUGUAAACUGCUUUUGUCAGGGAAUAAACCCCCGCUCGUGAGUGGGGCUGAAGGUACCUGAAGAAUAAGCAUCGGCUAACUCCGUGCCAGCAGCCGCGGUAAUACGGAGGAUGCAAGCGUUAUCCGGAUUCAUUGGGUUUAAAGGGUGCGCAGGCGGAUUGGUAAGUCAGGGGUGAAAUCCCACAGCUCAACUGUGGAACUGCCUUUGAUACUGUCAGUCUAGAGUAUAGUUGAAGUUGGCGGAAUGUGUCAUGUAGCGGUGAAAUGCUUAGAUAUGACACAGAACACCGAUCGCGAAGGCAGCUAGCUAAGCUAUAACUGACGCUCAUGCACGAAAGCGUGGGGAUCAAACAGGAUUAGAUACCCUGGUAGUCCACGCUGUAAACGAUGAUUACUCGAUGUUGGGCGAUACACAGUCAGCGUCUGAGCGAAAGCAAU